Daphnia pulicaria is the source of this 1700-nucleotide long non-coding RNA. RefSeq lists it as uncharacterized. The transcript is spliced from 7 exons. Lineage: Eukaryota; Metazoa; Arthropoda; Branchiopoda; Diplostraca; Daphniidae. The record is from RefSeq and is a predicted model, not a curated record.
CAGCCAUUAACAUAUUUCAAUAUUUGUAUUACUGUUUCAAAGUUUCAAUCUUGGUUUCAAUUAUUGAAUUGCUUUAUUGUAGUGAGCAUUUUGCAAAUUAGCCUGUUUACUCAAAAGUUUAAAGUCUAAAUGUAUGAAACAGUCUAUGUUCCCAGAUCACGUUGACGCAACAAGUGAUGAGGAAUGCUGGAUUGUUUCGCAUUCGAUUUUUUUCAAUCUAUUACUAAAAUGAAAUAAGUGCUGUAAGAAAUUUUGGUUCAGUGUGUUUUUAUGUCAAAAUCAAAUCACCCCACCAUUGGGGUGGCACCUGGUUGCGCACCAGCAAGCAUGAUUGUGAAUUUACCUCUGUUUGUUAAAAAUUCAGCAAUGUAGGACAAGUACUUGAUGAAGUGAACUCUAACUUUCAGCGACAGCUUCACCUACCUGUGUGAACUGCCAGACACAUUGCGGAAAAUAAGAAGAAUUCCAAUCUCCAGUCUACUGGCAUGUAUUACAAUCUCAGAAGGGUAACAAACUAUUGAAGAAAAUCCAAUGGGAAGAAUAAAAACUUUGGUGUGAAAAAGUGCAGACUCGUUGAAAGCUCAAAUGCUGGUUCAUUGCACAGCGCAUCUUUGUCGAAAAAACUAACCUCUGAGUCUCUGACAAGAAAUUAGCAUAUCGUUAUGGGUAACGAUUUGAUUUAACAGCUUUACAUGUUGAAUGUGAUCCUAAAGUAGAGCCGGAAGAUACCGGUGCGCCAACAUCCAACGGUGCGCGAUCAAGUUACCUUACGAUUCAUAGUUCCGAUGGAAUCACUAUCAAGGAGAAAAGCAGUCGAAAUGUCCUUUACCAACUGAUGUCAUCUUCAAGUUGGUCACGGAAGUGAGGAACAGGACGCAUGUCAACCAGUACACGAACUAACACUCGAUUGACGCGAACACUCUUGCGCUCAAUUGUGGUAAACGAACUUUCGGCGCAUUUGUGAUUCAACAGUGAAAUGGAUGCCCAUAAAUUCUUUUCGAUGCUCAAUAAUGAAAUGCUUACUGUGUCUUCUUUGACUAAUGAUCGGCUUGAGGUUUAAAUGGGAUGCAACUUACAAACUACACCGACGUUGCAACCGGAUUUUUUUACAUCUGCAGUCAGAACGUUUCCAUGUAACUUUCACUCCACCAUCACUACGAAUUCCUUAUUUCUCUACUCUGGAAUAUUUGGGUUACGACCGACGAAGAAACUGGCAUCCUGGAAGAAAUUGACGAUAGUGAAGAAACUAAUGUCGUGGAUUACCGAGCAGCCUCAUUGUCCCAUAAAUUCCAACAACCUGCUUACAGUUUUGAAACAGAAUUUGGAAAGGCCGUUUGUCGAGAGCCAAAAAAAAAACAAUUUGAAACAAGAAUUAUUUAAGCAGGCAGCCCCCACGAUACACAGUACAGUUGAAAAAAGAACGUGAAGCGACAGAAAAUCCUCUCAUGAUCAUCAUCCAACGGGUUAUGCUCGUCUAACACCGUCCACCGGAAACGUUGAUGUAUUUAGUAUCUUAUUGGUGUUUAUCCAUUUCAUCAGCUAAAAUUUCUGAAAUAAAGUUUAUUUUCAGGAAUUCAUUAAGAAACCAUCAUUCAAACAUAUCUUCAUACUCGGAACCCGAUAUACAGAAGAAAAAGUGCAGCGGCCUUUUUUCUGUUAGAACAGCAGAAGUACGUGCCCAGACAUCUUUGAUAAAAGUA